This is an unclassified non-coding RNA of Callithrix jacchus (white-tufted-ear marmoset), 292 nucleotides long. It matches the Rfam family "Metazoan signal recognition particle RNA". From Rfam's summary of the family: The signal recognition particle (SRP) is a universally conserved ribonucleoprotein. It is involved in the co-translational targeting of proteins to membranes. The record is from Ensembl. Lineage: Eukaryota; Metazoa; Chordata; Mammalia; Primates; Cebidae.
GCUGGGUGUGGUGGUACGCACCUGUAGUCCCAGCUGCUGCGGAGGCUGAGGCGGGAAGAUCACUUGAGCCUAGGUAUUCUGGGCUGUAGUAAGCUGUGGCCUUUAGGUGUUUGUACUAAGUGUAGCAUCAAUAUCGUGAUCUUCCAGGAGUAGGGAGCCACCAGGUUGCCUAAGGAGAGCUGAACCAGCCCAGUCAGAAAUGAGCAGGUCAAAGCUCCAGGGCUAUCAGUAAUGGGAUGGGGCCUACGAAUAACCACUGCACUCAGCCUCGGCAGCACAGCAAGACCCUCUU